Molecule: small RNA, 125 nt
Filed under: Marmota monax (woodchuck)
Lineage: Eukaryota; Metazoa; Chordata; Mammalia; Rodentia; Sciuridae
Source: RNAcentral
GCUGGGCAUGGUCGCACAUGCCUGUAAUCCUAGCCUCUUGGGAGGCUGAAGCAGGAGAAUCACGAGGUCAAAGCCAGACUCAGCAAUGACCAGGUACUAAGCAACUCAGUGAGACCCUGUCUCUA